CUCUGGUGGCCAAACAGUGUGUCAAAGAGUGUCUGUCAUAGACAUUUUUCCUUUGCAUAUCAUCCUCCACGUACCCUCCAGUUUCCAUGAUGCUCCGACAAUGUUGUGCGAAUAAUGAAUCACCCUGUAUAUAUUCUACAGUAACAUGCUAUAUUUAUUUUCAUAGCAGGACAUUUUUAUAAGCACAUUUUCCUUGCUUUUAUUGUCAUUAUUUUAUUCUGCAAUCACGAACUGUCCCAAACCUGUGUAUGUUAUUGUUCAUCCUCCCCUUGCUUUAAAAAUUACAUUUUUUAAGUUGCUGGGUGUACAUUAUAUGACACAAAGCCCCAAUUCUGACAUAAAGCAUCUAAAACGAAUACAAUUUCAAAUCUGUUCAUAAUGCGAGCAGCAGAGAGCGAGUGGCUUAUCUAAUUUCUUGCAGCGUGAAAACCAUCAACAAAUUACAUCCAGAAUAAUAACAGGCCAUUAAAAAAGCAUCACUCCUCAAACGCGGGGGCCCCGUGAACACAUGAGUCUGUGUCAUUAAGAGAGCUGCAAAUGGGAAAUUGCAUGGCAGAUUACAUUGCAGAGGGACAAAAUCUUGAAUUAAAUUAAUUAUUGGAGCUGGGAGUGGAUUGCCAGCCUACUGCCAGUGAUUCGGGUCAAACUGCUGCGCAGAGAAUUUAACAUGCAAGAGAGGGACCCAAUGGAGGUAUGAAUGUUUCUACAAGGCUUGGAUUAAACCCAAAAUGUUUCAAGUUAUCUCAUCAGCUGUUGGAAUGUCCAGCUCUCACUAUUUUAGUUUUGCACUCAGUACUCCUGCACUUUAUCCUGUACACCCUCGAUCUGUUAAUAAAUGUACAAGUUUCGGGAAUCAAAAAAUGUCUUGGAUUUAACUGUAUGUUGUCCAAAGUGACCUGCUUUGCGAAAAAAUAAAUAAAUAAAUAAAACGCUAGGAAAUCAAAACAUUGAAAACGUAAAUAUAUCUGUCAAUAGAGAUUUAAAAUGUUAAAAAAAAAAAACAAUUAAAGGCACUGUUUCCCAGUUUCUAAUCUCAAUAAAAACCUGAUGAUUGGGCAUUAGCUUGGUAGUCAACCACCAUACAGUAAUGCCAUCUAAAUAACCAUAAUGGAUCUUUACCAAGAAAACCACAGAACACAGUUUUAAAUAUAAAGAUGUUUGGUCAUCUGGGAAACCAAAAAGUCACAUGAUCACAAUUUUAGAGGUACAGCUUUUAAAAAUCAAAAAGCAUGAAGAGUACAUGUUGGUGUAUUUUUAACAUUGAUAUCAUGUGAGAUGGAAUAUUUAGAUAGGGGGGUGCUGAGAUUAAGUUUGGAAAGGUAACAAUUUGACACAGAUUUUCUUUGUUUCCAAUAAUAUCAGUGGUCUAGAAACGCCAUUUUAGUCUAUUGCUGGAAUUGUAAUAACUUAAGGAAAAGGUUAUAAGAAAUGAUUGUAUGAGUAAAACAGCACAAAUUCAGAUAUUUGCAUUUCAAAAUUGUAACAACAGUAAACCCACAGUAAGCAUUUAUAAGGAAAGUGGUAAAUGUCCAUUGUUGGAUCUUGGCCAAUUGAUGAAAAAGCUGAUCUGUUAUUUGCACUGUUAUAAUGCAACAAUAGUACUGUGGCAAAAAUCCCUUCCCUUUAAAAUACAUAUAGCUAACACAAUAAUUCCAGUAAAUCUCAUCUAAUAUGUAUUACCCAUGCUUCCUAGAUCUCACAUAUUUCUAUAUGAAAGAUUUCUUUAAGGUUCUCAAACCCUCUCAGAGUGGAUGGAAGAUUUGAUUUGAUCUUGGAAGGAGGCAAACAGGGAGCACUGCGUUGUCAUUUCCUUGCCAAUGAGCUGGAGAGGGGAAAUCAACUAGGAUUGGAUUGCUGCACCAGCCACAGCACCACCUACUGGUCAGUGCCAGACGUGGCCAAACAUAAAGACCAGUCAGGCUAAACUCUUUCCUCUAGGGUUCAGUAGCUUGACAACAUCCAGUGCUACUGCUGUGUGAAAAGAGGAUAGACGAUGGUAAGGGCAUUAGUUGAUCUUCUGUCCUUCUAAGCCAGUACGUGGGUUACAUCAGUGACGCGGCAUUUUGAACUGCAGAGAAAAAUUGCAAAUAAUGUGCCUUUAAAUCCAUGUCUGUAUAAUAAGCAAACAUUGUAAACCCUGCAUCCUAAAAAGGAGCUCUAUAAUACCCCAUGCUCAGCUCUCCAGUGCUCUAACCCUACACCUUCAUAAUAAGCACAGGUCUAAACAUUCUAUUCUCAUCUCUCAAGCACUCUGUCUCCAAUAUAACAAGAACACUGGUCUUAACACUCAAUUGUACCUGCAUAAUGAGCGCUGGUCUAAAUAAUCCACUCUCAGAUCUGAGGCACGGUCAUUAGCCUGCGCCUUAAUAACGAGUGCUUGUCUAAACACUCCAGCGCUGCUAACCUGCUCCUAAUAAACACAAAUGAGAAAUGCAGAACUACAUUCUAAUGCAGUGAAAACGAAUAAUUGAUGAAUGGGUGACACCAAAUUCUGGGGACAAGACAGUGCUUGAGUAUGCCCUCGCCCAGUAAGGAAAAGGCAGGUAUGCACAGCAAACUGAGAGGGGGGUGGGGGGGCAGGCUCAGUGCUUUCUCUCUCUCUCCCUCUCUCUCCCUUUCUUUGUCCACGUUGGGAAUGAAGCCUUAUCACCAGCAAUGAAGCUUAAGGCUGCUCGAGUGGACUUUGCAAUGCAAAUGAAAGAUCCUCUGGGACAAGAUGGAGCUUAUAACCAACUCGGGACCUGGGAGAACAUCCUACGCUUUCUUUUUUUUUUUUUUUUAGCAUCCUGCGUGCAAGCCAGAACGAAAAUACAGCACAGAAGAGGGAAGGCAUAGAGGGAGGGAGGGAGAGAGAGAGAGAGAGAGAGAGAGAGAGAGAGAGAGAGAGAGAGAGAAAGAGAGAGAGAGAGAGAGAGAGACUGACUAAUCAGGGAGAAACGUUAGUUCUAGGACAUUAGGUUACAAACACCUAAGUAUGGGUGGCUUGCAUUGCAUCGAUGUAAUGUAAAGGUGUGAUUCUCAAAAUAUAUACGGUAUAUAUUGAGCAAAACAUCUUCCUUUGUUAACUAAAUUUGAAAUGCGGGGCACUGGAACCAAGAAGAUCUGCAAUAAUGAAAUACCAAACAGGUGUCUGUAAGGAAAAAUGUCCCAGUUAUUGUCCAAGAAGGAUUGGGUACUGAAGAUUGGCAAGGGGCCCUCCCUAUAGCCCAGCAAGCGGCAAUGAUGGUUUGGCAGGUCGUGAUCCAUAAAUCUGGGCAGCCGGCAAAAUCCAUGAACAUCUCUACAGUGCAAGCUCUGGGAUACAUGGUCAACUCAACAUCUUCCAGAGUCUACCUCCGUUCUCCCUUUGGAAUGCCAGAGUCUGAAGUCCUGUUGGUGGCUGGGAUCCAGGUGGAAGCCAUCAGAGCCACGCAGUGUGGAGUAGUGGUUAGGGCUCUGGACUCUUGACCGGAGGGUCGUGGGUUCAAUCACCGGUGGGGACACUGCUGCUGUACCCUUGAGCAAGGUACUUUACCUAGAUUGCUCCAGUAAAAAAAAAAAAAACUGUAUAAAUGGGUAAUUGUAUGUAAAAAUAAUGUGAUAUCUUGUAACAAUUGUAAGUCACCCUGGAUAAGGGCGUCAGCUAAGAAAUAAAU
Acipenser ruthenus (sterlet) is the source of this 3635-nucleotide long non-coding RNA. RefSeq lists it as uncharacterized. The transcript is spliced from 5 exons. The record is from RefSeq and is a predicted model, not a curated record. NCBI's taxonomy places the organism in Eukaryota, Metazoa, Chordata, Actinopteri, Acipenseriformes, Acipenseridae.